UCUUUCUUUGCUUCCUUUUAGGUUGCUUUGAUUCCCUUUCCAUUUGCUUUCUUCAUCUUUUCCAACUUUACUUUUCCUUUUCUUCCUUUUUGACUAAUGGCCAAAUUAAUCAAGUUUUCUUAUCUGUUUCACACCUUAAUUUCUGACAAUAAUGGAAAAGGUAGCGUACAUCUACUAGGAAUAGUGAAAAAGGUAAAGCCUUACUCUUUAUUAAGCACCACAGCAACCCAACUAUGUCAGUUAUCUCACCAUAUAUCCAAAGCUGAGAAUUUGCCUGUUAGAGCCUGUUUGGAUGGGCUUAUGCCUAUAAGCUGCAUGUUGCUUAUAAGCUAAAAAAAAAAUAAGUUGGGGUAGUCUAACUUUUUUUUUUGACUUAUAAGUUGUCUUCAGCUUAUAAGCUGCUUUAGAUAAACUAAGUGAAAUGGACCCAAUUAUUUUUUUGAGCUUAUUUUAAGCGCAAAAUGACUUUAAGCUGGCCAAUCAAACAUUCAAAAAAGCUAAAAACACCUUAUAAGCAACUUAUAAGCCAAUCCAAACGGGCUCUUAGUCUUUAGCAAUAUCCUUCAACAAUGUCUCAUGCUUCUUCUUCUUCCAAAGUUUGCAAGUAUGAUGCUUUUUUGAGUUUUAGAGGUCCCCAUACCCAUAAGAACUUUGUGAGUUAUCUCUAUAAUGCUUUAGAACGAAGAGGAAUUGAUGCUUUUAAAGAUGAUGAGCGGCUGGAAACGGGAAAAUCUAUUUCUAGUGAACUACUGAAAGCCAUAGAAGAGUCCAGAUUUGCUAUUGUGAUAUUUUCAAAAAGCUGUGCAUCCUCAAGAUGGUGCUUAGAAGAGCUUGCUCACAUCAUAAAGAGCCGAAAUGAAUUGGAUCAGAUUGUGAUUCCAAAUUUUUAUGAUGUGAGUCCAUCUGAUGUAAGCCAUCAAAAUUCACCAUUCGCCGAGUCGUUUUCCCAACACGAGGAAAAACACAGAUGAUUUGGAGAAGGUUCAAAGAUGGAGAGAAGCAUGUAAGCAAGCUAGGAAAAUAUCAGGGUACCAUUUACAAGAGUGCACGGAUGAGGCAGAUUGCAUCACAAAGGUUGUUGAUUACAUGUUACUGAACGUUAUUUUACCCGUUUCGGAAAGCUUAGUGGGUACUCAAAUUGGCAAAGUAAUCUCAUUAUUACAUAUGAAACCCGAUGACGUUUAUUCCGUUGGAAUAUGGGGAAUGAGAGACAGAAAUUGCAAGUAUUAUCUAUGAGAGAUAUCGUCAUCAAUUUGAAGCUUAUUGUUUUCUUGAUGAUGUUGGAGAAAUGUGCCCAAAAAAGGGACUUAAGUGGCCACAGAAAACUCUUAUCUGCAAGCUAUUUGGAAAAAAGAUGAUUGUAACUAGUGAAUGUGAUGGAACCAUAAUUAUAAAGAAUGGGCUUCGCUGGAAGAAAGUUUUGCUCAUUCUUGACAAUGUAGACCAUCUAAGUGAACUAGAGUUUAUAGUUGGAGGGACAGAGUGGUUUGGCAGGGGUAGUAGAAUUUUGAUUACCAUGAGAGACAAGCACCAGAUAAUCACUCAUGUGAAAGAGGAUAAAGUAUAUGAAGUCCUGCUAUUGUCUCAGAAUGAAGCUCUUGAACUGUUUUGCAUGCAUGCUUUCAAAAGAAAAUCUCCAGAGAGAGUUUGAGGAACUUUCAAGUGAAGUGGUGAAGUAUGCUGAUGGACUCCCUUUAGCUCUUAAAGUUUUGGGUUCUUCUCUUUAUGGACGAAACAAAGAGCAAUGUAGAGACAUAAUUGAUGGCUUGAAGAAGAUCCCUAAUGAUGACAUUCUAGGAAAACUUAAGAUUGGUUUUGAUGGGUUGAAUAAAGAUGAGAUGAGAAUAUUCCUAGAUAUCGGAAGCUUGUACAAUCAUGAAUCAAGAUAUGACAUGGAACGAAUACUUAAGAGUUGUGGUAUUCACAUGAUAGGAAUAAGCCGUCUCAUCGAAAAAUCUCUUUUAUCCAUCAGUACAGAUGGCUACAGAUUUCAGAUACAUAAUUUGAUAAAAGAAAUGGGUGAAAAUGUCCUAAGAGAAAAGUACACAAGCAGCAUAAUAUUGCUUCAUGAGGAGAUUCAUGACCUUUUUACUGGAAAUUUGAAAACAAAAAAGGUGGAAAGCCUACAGAUCCCAAAAGGUUACCGUUUUGAAGAUGAUCAUGUAAAUCAUAACGAGGUAUUCAAGAGGAUGGAAAGCUUAUAGGUGUUGAUAGUUCAUUGUGAAACUAUUAGCUCGGACAGCACUAUCACUUGUCUUCCGUCUAGCCUGCGAUGGAUUGAAUGGCCGAACUAUCCUUCAAGUUCAUUGCCAGAGGGGUUUGAACCUUCACAUCUCGUUAGCCUUAGAUUAUCUAAAAGUCCGCUUGUCGAACUUUGGCCAAUAUCAAAGAAAUUGAGCAACUUGAAGCAUUUGGAUCUCAACAGGAGCCUCGGGUUGACAAAAAACCCUAAUUUUGGUGAUAAGCCAAACUUGGAGAUACUAUAUUUAAAUGGGUGUUCGAAUUUGGAAAAGGUCCAUCCCUGUCUUGGACAUUGCAGAAUGCUUACUUAUUUGUGUUUGUCUAGUUGUCACAAACUUAAGAAGCUUCCAAAAUUUGUUUCCAUGGAAUCUCUUGAGACUCUCUACCUCCAUGGAUGCACAAGUUUAGAAGAAUUUCCAGAAAUCUGUGGAGAUAUGUGGCGCUUAUCAAGACUCAAUGUAGAAUCCCCCUAGAUAAGAAGCUUAGCCCCGUCUUUCAGCGGCCUUAGAGUAUUGGAAUUGAGUAGUUGUGAAGUUCUUGGAAGUGUUCCGGAAGCUAUUCGUAAUCUUGAACAUCUCUGUAUUACUCAUUGCAAUAAACUUGCAACGCUGCCAAACAUCCUCUUUGAAUCACAACAAGUAGAAGCUCUUUAUAUAGAUCGAUAUUUUGGAUUGGUAGGGCUCCCCAUAUCUCUUGGAGUUUCAAAGAACCUCCGUCGGUUAAACUUAAAAGCAUGUGAGAACUUAAAGAAGCUUCCAAGCGCUAUUCAGAUAAAGAAGCUUCCAAACACUGUCUCAUUUUCACCUUUUUUUUACAUUUCGGAGAGGUCUAACUAAUAAAUCUUGCAACCUUUUAAGUAAUGAACUUGAGCUUACAAGAUUGCAGAUGUAUAAUGGUGACUUUUCUUUUCGUACUUAGAUUGGUGAGAAGGUUUUAAUAUGGAGACAUGGAAUCAUACAUGAUGGUGAAUUUUCAUUUUGUACUCAGAGACCUGAUUGGAUUGCUAAAAGAGCUGGACUUCGAGGAUCAGUCCGGAGGGUUGCCAAUGGUUGCGAGAUUGUAAUGGGAUUGCUUCUAUUUACUACAGUUGCUUUACUAGCAUGCUUUAGUCCGUCGUAAUUUGAAUUCCAAACCCGAAUGUUGUUUAACCAACUAUUCAGCAGAGAUAUCCUAAUUGUUUGUAUUUCUUGGUGGAUAUAUAGUCGAGAUAUCAUUCUUCUCUAAACAAAGGACUAAAUUUGCAAGCUUGAAAAAUUCUUCAAUACUGACUUUGUUUACUUGCAUUAUAUUGUAAAUAAUUAUGUAGUGCUCGUUGCAGCAUUUUUUAGGAGUUAAUAGUCAUGUUGGCUAAUUGCACACAUGUUUUCACAUCCUUUCUUCUUCUGGACUUUGGCAUUUGUAUUGAGCUUGCUUGACUUAGUAUCUCAAUC
Molecule: RNA transcript, 3671 nt
Organism: Lycium barbarum (goji berry)
Lineage: Eukaryota; Viridiplantae; Streptophyta; Magnoliopsida; Solanales; Solanaceae
Gene name: disease resistance protein Roq1-like
Exons: 5
Source: RefSeq, a predicted model, not a curated record